GGACUACUCGGGUAUCUAAUCCCGUUCGCUCCCCUGGCUUUCGCACAUCAGCGUCAGCCACCUCCCAGGACACUGCCUUCGCCAUUGGUAUUCCUCCGGAUAUCUACGCAUUUCACCACUCCACCCGGAAUUCUAUGUCCCUCUGAGGUGCUCCAGUCACACCGUCUUCCCGGCACUCCCGUCGGUAAGCAACGAGCUGGCACCGGAAACGCGUGCGACCGCCUGCGUGCGCUUUACGCCCAAUAAUUCCGGACAACGCUUGCCCCCUACGUAUUACCGCGGCGGCUGGCAC
Molecule: ribosomal RNA, 292 nt
Filed under: uncultured bacterium
Lineage: Bacteria
Description: partial 16S ribosomal RNA
Source: RNAcentral